Molecule: ribosomal RNA, 595 nt
Filed under: Hepatozoon canis
Lineage: Eukaryota; Apicomplexa; Hepatozoidae
Description: bacterial SSU rRNA
Rfam family: Eukaryotic small subunit ribosomal RNA
Source: RNAcentral
UUCAUGCUUUUGUAGUAUGAAAAUUGAGGAUUUUAAUAACUUAGCAAAUCGCGAAGUGAAAACAGGCGAUAAAUCAUUCAAGUUUCUGACCUAUCAGCUUUCGACGGUAUGGUAUUGGCUUACCGUGGCAGUGACGGUUAACGGGGGAUUAGGGUUCGAUUCCGGAGAGGGAGCCUGAGAAACGGCUACCACAUCUAAGGAAGGCAGCAGGCGCGCAAAUUACCCAAUUCUAACAGUUUGAGAGAGGUAGUAACAAGAAAUAACAAUACAAGGCAGUUAAAAUGCUUUGUAAUUGGAAUGAUAGAAAUUUAAACCCUUUUUAAAGUAUCAAUUGGAGGGCAAGUCUGGUGCCAGCAGCCGCGGUAAUUCCAGCUCCAAUAGCGUAUAUUAAAAUUGUUGCAGUUAAAAAGCUCGUAGUUGAAGUUCUGCUGAAAGUAACCGGUCUGCUUUUAAUAAAAGUGGUAUCUUGGUAUGUAUUUAGCAAUGAUGUCCUUUGAAGUGUUUUUUACUUUAUUGUAAUAAAGCAUAUUCAGGACUUUUACUUUGAGAAAAUUAGAGUGUUUCUAGCAGGCUAACGCUUUGAAUACUGCACUGG